AUAUAUCAUCAAAACAGUGCUUUGGGAAGGUACCUAUCACCUCACAGACAUGGAUGGAAGACUCAUACCACGGGCAUGGAACGCCCAACACUUAAAGAGGUAUUACCAGUAGCUUCACCCGGGUAGUAUUUCUGUAGGCUUCGGCUUAAGGGUCAGGAAAUAAAGGCGAUUUAUUAGUUGUAAUCGCUAUGCUUUUAGGAGAAUUAUCAGGCUACUAUUUGCUUUACUUGCUAGGACGCUCGGGGGGUAGUGUCGUUGCACCCCCCAAUAUUAUGCUAUGUCAAUUUCUACCAUGUGGUUCAAUAAAAUUUUGCAGCUUUCCGUUAUGAAAAUGUUGUGUAUGCUUACUUGCUU
RNAcentral lists this long non-coding RNA (354 nucleotides) under Daucus carota (carrot). Its description in RNAcentral is "long non-coding RNA (DCAR_LNC007167)". The record is from RNAcentral. Lineage: Eukaryota; Viridiplantae; Streptophyta; Magnoliopsida; Apiales; Apiaceae.